RNAcentral lists this transfer RNA (96 nucleotides) under Gossypium hirsutum (cotton). It matches the Rfam family "tRNA". Rfam says of the family: Transfer RNA (tRNA) molecules are approximately 80 nucleotides in length. Their secondary structure includes four short double-helical elements and three loops (D, anti-codon, and T loops). Lineage: Eukaryota; Viridiplantae; Streptophyta; Magnoliopsida; Malvales; Malvaceae. The record is from Rfam by way of RNAcentral.
GGCCUAUUAGCUCAGCUGGUUAGAGCGUCAUGCUAAUGACGCGAAGGUGUCGUGCUAAUAACGCGAAGGUCGCAGGUUCGAGACCUGCAUGGGCCA